This 490-nucleotide ribosomal RNA is filed under the name uncultured bacterium. RNAcentral's name for it is "partial 16S ribosomal RNA". It matches the Rfam family "Bacterial small subunit ribosomal RNA", at positions 30 to 507 of the family's 1533-position model. The record is from RNAcentral.
AUUGAACGCUGGCGGCAGGCCUAACACAUGCAAGUCGAACGGUAACAGGAAACAGCUUGCUGUUUCGCUGACGAGUGGCGGACGGGUGAGUAAUGUCUGGGAAACUGCCUGAUGGAGGGGGAUAACUACUGGAAACGGUAGCUAAUACCGCAUAACGUCGCAAGACCAAAGAGGGGGACCUUCGGGCCUCUUGCCAUCGGAUGUGCCCAGAUGGGAUUAGCUAGUAGGUGGGGUAACGGCUCACCUAGGCGACGAUCCCUAGCUGGUCUGAGAGGAUGACCCGGCAAACCGGAAAUGAGACCAGGUCCCGAAUCCUAAGGGAGGGAGGCGGGGGGAAUAUUGGACAAUGGGCGCAAGCCUGAUGCAGCCAUGCCGCGUGUAUGAAGAAGGCCUUCGGGUUGUAAAGUACUUUCAGCGGGGAGGAAGGGAGUAAAGUUAAUACCUUUACUCAUUGACGUUACCCGCAGAAGAAGCACCGGCUAACUCCGUG